Molecule: long non-coding RNA, 2951 nt
Organism: Osmerus eperlanus (European smelt)
Lineage: Eukaryota; Metazoa; Chordata; Actinopteri; Osmeriformes; Osmeridae
Exons: 3
Source: RefSeq, a predicted model, not a curated record
GAUAGGGCUGGAUCACACUGAGAUUAUAUAAAGUAUAACGGGCGGGUGUCACCGGAUGAUCGGAGAGACGUUAGGUACCACUUUAAAUGUUCACAAAUGUCAAGACGGCAUAAAUCUCAAUUACGUAUUGUUUUGCGUGACCUUGUGAACUCGUCCGCCGUUUGAACUGGAAAGAAAUUCCAUUCAUUAUAUUAUUUUAUUUCUGGAUUACUGGCUUGUUAUGUAGUACAUUGACAGGAAGUGACAUCAACGGGUCCGAACUCAGAACAUGUCGCAGGACGGGUUGACUUGCAUGUCCAGAACCUUAUUGUCUAAAGGAUGCUCCGCUGCAGGUUCAGAAGUGAUGUUCGCUGAUGGAUGCAGGAGAGAACCACGCAGGCGAGACAGACACACUGGAGACUGAGACUGAUGGUGGGAGCUCACCUUGGUGGUGUCUUACCUGUGCGGCUCAGUCAGGAACCCCCAGGGGACCCAAGUCAGUCACAUUACUAUCACCAUGACAGCCAGGCACGGUGACAUCCCAUAACAGCUCCAAUUGGCAAGUCAAACAAAUCACUGCAUCACUACAGCUGAAGCUUUCUCCGCUCAAAGACUCCGAGCUACGAGAGAAAUCACCACAAGACUGUUGCCAAUGUCGGCACAUCGCCUUGUCUACUACAGAGCAGCCAGUUGACACUGGGUGUCUGUACAGUGGCGUGACUUGGACCAGAGGGGCCCAGCCCAGCAGACUGACUCCUGUCCUGUCUGCCCAGAACGGAGCUCCCUCCCCGGCUGCUCCAGGGGCACCUGGCUCCCCUCCCUGCCAUCCCUGACUGGAUCAAUGACUGAGGCCAUGACAGCCCAGAGACCCAGGGGCCCCGGGGUCAGCAUCAAAAGCCCCCUGCCCACGUCCUGACACCUGGUGCUCUCUUUAGGACGAGGGGGUACAUUUCCAGCCCCCAUACCGCCCCCCUGCUGCCCCCACAACCUCCAUGAACAGGCUGCGGACAUGGGACCAGGCCCUCCGUGUGAUCUCCCUGGACCCCCCUCCCUUGCAGCCCACAUGGGGAGGGAAGGUGAGGGGUCAGGCCCAUCAGACCACCACACACUUCCAUGUCCAUUUGAUGAAGGGAUCUGUUUUUGAUUUAAUAAUACCAACUGAAUCCUGAUCCCCCAACAUGGAAAGCAUUGAGUGAUUGCUUGGAAUGUGUCUUAUCUGCAAAGCAUACUCUUCAUAUGUGUCCGCCUGGUUCCCCUGCAUGGUUAGUCAAGCAGUCUCCAUUCAGGGAUAAGAGAAACCCACAGGCCAUCCUCAUUUACUCACUUCAGUGAAUACUAAAAGAUACACAGACAUAGCAUCGUUCAUUAAUUUUUUUUAUUGUGUUUCACUAGAUAGUAAACACGGUUUGCACUUCAAGCAAUUUUAGAGAGAUACAACAUGCUUUAGUUUUUUAAUAAAAGCUGUUACAACAGUGUUUCUUCCUCCUGCAUCUGUCUCUCCUACUAGGUAACACAUAGACAUAUUGCAUAUGUCCACAAGGACAAUCUGUACAUGAGCUCCAUACAUCCAUAUUAAUGAACACAGAUUUAUCUGACUGCUAUCUAUCGAGCCCUGCCAUUAUUUCCCUUCAAUGUGUUUGCAGAUCCCAGUAUGUCCCCUACUCUUGUGAACAGGGAUGAAAAGAGAGAAGAUAUGGAGGGAGAGGAGGGGGAAAAAGGUCUGAUGAGUUUGGCAUGGAGAGGACGGAGGCUGAGACAGAUGGCAUGAAGUCUGCGGCACUCUGGCGGGGCUCGCGUGGUGCUAAAAUCCUCCUCGCACAUUCCAACAAAUCCUACCAGGAGGCUGGAGAGUCUGCCACAGCCUGCCGAGGAUCCACACGCCUGCCCACAUCCCUGCCCAUCCCUACCAUCCCUAACCCUCCCCCCUACAUCCUCACCCCUUAUGAGGGCUCUGAUCAAGGGCAUGCCCCCCUCCCCCUUCAUACUGUUCGCACCAAGACCUUCACCCUAGACGAUCAGUCUGAAUACUGCAUGCAUUUGCCGUUGUUUACAUUCGAGCAGGUUCAUUGCCAUGUAAUAAUGUUAUGUGGAGGCCUGCCUGGAUUGUCUCUGUGCAGUAGGGUUGGGACGGGGUUCGACUGGGUGGGACUGGGUGGAGGGGGUUGUGAAAUUCAUAGAGGUCCUCUCCUGCCACUCCAGUGUAAAAUCCCAUUGCGUAAACAUUGGGCCAAAUCAUACAGGCAAAGACUGCACAAUCCAUUUAUAUCAGAGGAAGAAGACAUAAGGAGCUUUUCAAUUAGUCUCACUCGUGCCCGCAUCAGCCUUGGGUCUUGAUAAGAGACGCCGGGCAAGUUGAGCCCAUCACAGUCCAGACAUGCACGGCUCAGAUUGACCCAUAUUCCCACUUGGUUAGUGAGGGCUUAUGCUUCUCCGUAUGUACAGUGUAACUGCACAGUAAUUAUGACACACUAUACUGUAAAGUCCAAUAGCUUCCCAACUCUCACUGCAUGACAUCUUUAUGUGUCCCCUUACCCAAAUUGUUUUGGAUAUCGUUUUACAUUUCCGGGAGAGGGCUUUGAUGCAAAGUGUUGAUGCGCGUGGACAAGUGAUUCAUAUAAAAAUGAAUUGAAUCUACAAUACAGUUUGCUUAGUCCCUCAUCCACCCCCCUUCUCUCUCUGUGUAUACAUCCAGUAUACAAUAUAUACAUAAACACAUGGAUGCAUAUACAGUAUAUAUUCCCCUUUAUUUCCCUGCUCAUUGCCUUCUGUUGGAUCUAAUGAAGGAGUUGUGAGAAUAGGAGAUCCUGAAAGAGGGUAGCAGGGGACUGGGAUAUCACAUUACUGUUCAUAACAAUAAAAAGAAUCGUCUGUUUAAUCUUUGUAUGUGUUUUUUGCUCUGAUGUCUCUCUCUUCGUGAAGUGCUUCUAGAUGUUUGAAUAGAAGUGUUUCCCAUUAAAAGAAGAUACAAUCGA